UACUCGAAUUCGAAAAUAAAAACCUCAGAACAAUGCUUGUCAUUGUUCUGAGAUAAAAUAUAUCAAAAAAUUAUUGAAUAAAAUAAUAAGUCAAUUGUGGUUAACUAUCAACAUCAAAACCAUAAUGUAACAGAAAUAACAAUCUUAAGAAAACCGUUAACAUAAAAUCAUAACAAAAUGGAAGAAACGUGCCAAAAUAAUCAUAGUACAUUAUCAAGCUCGAGAAAAGGAUCAAAAAAGAAAUAUUCUGAAGCCCGAAAAGUUCAUAGUAAAUUAUGUUGUGUUUGCCGAAAAAUACCAUCCCAUGUGCGAACCUACUACGGACGUUUGUUCUGCAUUGAUUGUUUUCACAAAUACAUCUGGACAGUUCCUAGUAAAGAUUCAUUGUGUAUCAACAAAGAUUGAGAGUAUAAAAAGUGAAAAAUUUACGAAAACAUAUUUGCAAUAAGAAAUUGUAACUUUUAUGAGUGGUCCAUGUUGAUAUUUAAGAAAAUGAUAAUAUAAACUCUUUUAUAAACCCCAA
This is a long non-coding RNA of Manduca sexta (tobacco hornworm), 523 nucleotides long. RefSeq lists it as uncharacterized. The transcript is spliced from 2 exons. The record is from RefSeq and is a predicted model, not a curated record. Lineage: Eukaryota; Metazoa; Arthropoda; Insecta; Lepidoptera; Sphingidae.